Long non-coding RNA from Salvia splendens (bonfire salvia), 665 nucleotides. RefSeq lists it as uncharacterized. The record is from RefSeq and is a predicted model, not a curated record. The transcript is spliced from 2 exons. Lineage: Eukaryota; Viridiplantae; Streptophyta; Magnoliopsida; Lamiales; Lamiaceae.
CCGUCUCUUGAAGCCCGUGGGACGUAGCUGCCACCUCCUCCUCCGACAGCUUCUCCUACAAAUGAAACGGCGGAUAACGAAUCUAAGGAACCGCAGGCGAAUCGUUUGAUUGAAAGGAUUGAAAGAAUGAAUGCGAAAAUGAAAGCCACGAUGAAGAUGGAACAAAAUCGUUUCAAUCACGUUGCUCGAACGGUUCGCCUGCGAUUCCUUGGAUUCGCUAUCCACUAUUUCAUUCAUAUGAGAAGCUGCCGCAAAGAGGAGUAGGUGGCUCCGCAAUGGCGCCGCCACGGGCUUCAAGAGACGGGCCAGGAGGCGACGGACCAGGCCCAUCGGCCUCACUCAAAUUUGCCUUUUUCAGAAGAUUUUUCCGGGAAACAAUCGUGGUCUCCCCCAGAUUCAUCUCAACUUUAAACCGCACCCGGCCGCCGCCAGCCUCCACUAACGGUCCCUGCGGAUGGAUUCAGCGUCUUUCACCAUCAAUUAUGUGCUCUAUCAAUGAAGAGAAGUAGGGUUGUGACGAAAUCGGGUUGAAUUUUGUGGAAACACGCUUGCAUUAUUGAGUUGAUGAGAGAGAGGAAAAGACGAUUUUCAUUUUUCUCAUAUUUCUUUGGAAAUGUAACGGUUACAGCUAUGUCUGAUAUGAGGAAUAAAUGAUUUUACCCAAA